Molecule: small nucleolar RNA, 140 nt
Organism: Grammomys surdaster
Lineage: Eukaryota; Metazoa; Chordata; Mammalia; Rodentia; Muridae
Product: small nucleolar RNA SNORA48
Exons: 1
Source: RefSeq, a predicted model, not a curated record
UCUCCCAGAAAUGAGCAAAAAUACCUUGUUGAUGUGGUGGUCUUAUAUCAGUCAAGGGCAAAACAGAUGACAAUGCUUUGUUCAUCUCAGCUUGAUACCUGGCUUGGUGGACAAAGCUAUUUUAUGCCUUGGACUCAUAC